AUUUUCUCAGUCUUGGGUAGUUUUUGUGUAGUUUUCUGUAAUCCAACUGCUGGGUUACUGGCUGUCUCAUUUUCACUGACAGUUGAAUCAAUGCAACCGUCCCCCACCCUGACGCAUCAACCCAGCUCCUUGGGUCAGUUCAUCUCAGUUUGAAUUUGCCUCAGGUGGUUUUCACACGGACAGACUGUUAGAUUUAUUUGGAGAAACGCAAUCAGAAAGGAAAGGAUCCUACACACUUUUUGAGUUAUUACUAUUUCAACACGUGUUAAAUUAUCCAAUAGUUGUGUUAAAAAAGAAUUUUUUUUAAAAUUUUUUUUUACAAAAGUGAUUGUGGGGUCUUGAGGCAAGGAAACCAAAUGACCACAGCUUUUCAAAUGGAACGGAGUGGAACUUCUAUCUUCCCAGAUUGCAAGGAGAUUUGUAAGAAGAUGCCUCAACUCCAAUUCUUACAUCUGUCAAGGGUUUAAAUGACUUUAACAAAUGUCACCUGAAUUUCAUGCAAUUGUUUGUUUAUUUUGUGAGUAUUUUAGUAGAAUUUUAGCAUACAAACAAAUUGCAUUUUAGGAUAAUUGUAGAGAAAAAAUAUAUAAACAACACAUCUGUUACUUUGUAUUGCAUCUUCGUGUGGAAAUGUACUAACACACUGAUUGUGUUAAAAGCAACACAAAAUGUGUUGUCCUUAACUAGACACGCAGGUGUGUUCAAAAUUAAUAUGGCGUUAUUUUAACACAUCUAUUUUAAGAGUUCAUAUCAGGUAUUUCAUGUAUUUUCUGCUCCUAGCAAGUUCAGGUAUUUCAUGUGUUCCAGCUCAAGCACACCUGGUGCAAUUGUUGAAGCCCUUGAUUAGUUGCAUCAGGUGUGCUUGAGACAACACCUGUUUUGCAUAUUAGUGCUGUUGUGAUGGAUUCUAUUCAGGCGGUUGAAUAAUUUUUAAACUGGAGAAAUCAUUAUAAGUUGCUUUUUCAGUUGAAUUUGGGGAAACCACUUGAAUCAUUCAUUGUGUUGAAAUAUUUCAAUUGCUUUUGUUUGAUUUGUUCAUUGCAAACAGCUGACAGUAUGUAAAUUUUGACAGUAAACCUGAUUUGCAAUGGAGGUUGAAUAAUUUUGAUUGCAACUGUAUCUAACUAGUUGUCAACUGGUCUUUCU
Ictalurus punctatus (channel catfish) is the source of this 1146-nucleotide long non-coding RNA. The record is from Ensembl. Lineage: Eukaryota; Metazoa; Chordata; Actinopteri; Siluriformes; Ictaluridae.